CCUACGGGGGGCAGCAGUGGGGAAUAUUGCACAAUGGGGGAAACCCUGAUGCAGCAACGCCGCGUGAGUGAAGAAGUAUUUCGGUAUGUAAAGCCCUAUCGGCAGGGAAGAAGCAAGACGGUACCUGACUAAGAAGCCCCGGCUAACUACGUGCCAGCAGCCGCGGUAAUACGUAGGGGGCGAGCGUUAUCCGGAUUCACUGGGUGUAAAGGGAGCGUAGACGGCCAUGCAAGCCAGGGGUGAAAGCCCGGGGCCCAACCCCGGGACUGCCCUUGGAACUGCAUGGCUGGAGUGCGGGAGGGGCAGGCGGAAUUCCUGGUGUAGCGGUGAAAUGCGUAGAUAUUAGGAGGAACACCAGUGGCGAAGGCGGCUUACUGGACAGUAACUGACGUUGAGGCUCGAAAGCGUGGGGAGCAAACAGGAUUAGAUACCCGGGUAGUC
This 441-nucleotide ribosomal RNA is filed under the name uncultured bacterium. Its description in RNAcentral is "partial 16S ribosomal RNA". It matches the Rfam family "Bacterial small subunit ribosomal RNA", at positions 338 to 795 of the family's 1533-position model. The record is from RNAcentral.